GUCUGCUGCCAUGUGAGAUGUGCCUUUCAUCUUCUGCCAUGAUUGUGAGGCCACCCCAGCCACAUGGAACUGGUCUUGCUGUGUCACCCAGGUGGAGUGCGGUGGUGCCAUCAUGGCUUGACCUCCCAGGCUCAAUUGGUUCUCCCACGUCAGCCUUCUGAGUAGCUGGGACCACAGGUCCUGCAUGGAGGCUGGAGACCCGAGAAGGGAGCCCACCCUGGGGGAAGGAAGGAGACAUUUCCAACGCUGAGAACUGCCACAUGGUCUAUAGAAGGAUUUGCACUGAUGACAUGAUAGAGGCAAU
Molecule: long non-coding RNA, 304 nt
Organism: Symphalangus syndactylus (siamang)
Lineage: Eukaryota; Metazoa; Chordata; Mammalia; Primates; Hylobatidae
Source: RefSeq, a predicted model, not a curated record